Molecule: long non-coding RNA, 432 nt
Filed under: Homo sapiens (human)
Lineage: Eukaryota; Metazoa; Chordata; Mammalia; Primates; Hominidae
Description: non-protein coding LINC00927:41
Source: RNAcentral
UGGAAGCUUGGCGCUCACUCAGCUCCCAGAAGUUCUCAGAGGGUGAGGGUCCCACAUCUCCUGCAGGACAGGCCCUAGCUACUGAGUCACAGAAACCCAGGGCCGAAGCAAAGUCCCAAUCCCAGAGAGGCUGGGGCACACCUACAACUGAAAGGAGGCUUAGAAAUCCUUCAGAGACCACCCUAUCGGUUCUCCUCCACCUGGACAGGAUGAGCCAGCAACACAGAAGGAAGAGGCCUUCCUCCGAAAGGUAUAUUUGUAAGCCGAGUUGAAUGCUUUGUGGAGAGAGCCCCUAAAAUGGAGCCUGGCAGAUAACAAGCACGAGAUAAACACCAGCUGACUCCACGGAUGGAGGGCACGUGGACGGACUGGGUAUGCAGAAGAGACUCUCUGACUGCAGACUCGGCUGCCACACAUAGAAAUGUCUGCUCC